AAGGAGGAGCUGCUGAAACAGUUGGAUGACCUGAAGGUGGAGCUGUCCCAGCUGCACGUCGCCAAAGUGACAGGCGGCGCGGCCUCCAAGCUCUCUAAGAUUUGAGUCGUCCGCAAAUUGGACGUGUUCUCACGGUUAUUAACCAGACUCAGAAAGAGAAACUCAGGAAAUUCUACAAGGGCAAGAAGUAUAAGCCCCUGGACCUGUGGCCUAAGAAGACACGCGCCAUGUGCUGCCGGUUCAACAAGCACAAGGAGAACCUGAAGACCAAGAAGCGGCAGCGGAAGGAGAGGCUGUGCCUCCUGCGGAAGUACGCAGUCAA
RNAcentral lists this long non-coding RNA (322 nucleotides) under Homo sapiens (human). RNAcentral's name for it is "non-protein coding lnc-HOXA13-6:1". The record is from RNAcentral. Lineage: Eukaryota; Metazoa; Chordata; Mammalia; Primates; Hominidae.